UUGAUAUGAUUUCGUGGCCAGGAAUAAAGAAGAAUAAUAGAGGGCAUGUCACCAGCCAGUUCUGACUGGACAAGAAUUAUAGACACAAUUUAAAAGGGGAGAAAACCAUUCUUGAGGCCUUCGAUGCAACCCUUUUUGUCAAUGGAAUCUGCUUACUUUUCAUUUCUUUGCAGUCCAAAUUAAUCCCUUCUGCUUGUUCAUGACGGGAUCUCUUAUCUCCCUUAAAAACAAUUGGCUUCACAACUCUUACAUAGAUACUCCCUCAGCAAUAUUGAUCUCCACACAGCUAACAAAAGCAGUUCUGUACAUAUACUUUGAAGUUUGUAGUGACUUGCUACAACCACCUUUGCUGAUUAGCUAAGGAAGUAUUGCAAGCCAAGGGAAAAAGGAGAAAGCAAAAGAAAGUUUUGAAUCUUCAAGAAAUGUACAUUGACCGAGGUUCUCCACUAACACCCAAUAGGGUUUCAGAGAUAUUACUUAUCUGUGCCAACACGCUAGCUGUUGGUUUGUCGUAGGUCUUAUGGCUUCAGAAAGAUUUAAUUUUUGUAAAGUAUCGUAGAUUAUAGGAGCUGCUUCAAAGCGCAAACUUGUAAUUGGUGGUUUUUUUUCCUUGCAACGAAAGGGGAUAAAAGUUCUGAUUGAAAAAUCUUUAAAUAAAAAGUAUUUUCAACUCUCAAGCAUACCCUUGUGUUAUUUUUUUGUUUUGUUUUGUCUUCUUGAGCAUGUUUUAAGUUGCUAUUUGGAUAUAACUAUAGCAGGAGUAACCUUUAUACUGUGCCAUGUUGUUGAGAGAUGUGACAACCCUCGAAAUGGAUGCCAAAUCAUUCUAAAUCAACUUUCUACCAUUGUCGUGCUGCCUUUGGUGGAAAGAACCAACUUAAAGCCCAAGUUUGUGUCCACAACUUUACAAAUGACCUAAUGUCACAUAACCCAAGUGUACUCCACAACUUUCCAGGUUGAUCUAAGAUUAAGAAAAGACAAUACCAUCCUAAUUUCAUUUUUUUUAUUUUUCACCAAGUUUUUUGUGAAAUUAUGUCCCAGAUUGCAUUCAAACAAGGCUAAGAUUGUUUCCUGAGACUAAAGAAAUCACAAAUUAAAGCCAGCCAAUGAAAUCUGGGCCGCCCCACAGGCUGUAAAAUCAAAAUUCCUGGCUCCACUAGAAGCCAAACCAGUGCGGCCAGGUUUGCCCAUCAAGGAAAUGCCGACUGGCUGUUUUUUGUUGUUUGUGUGGUGUGCCGAGCUAUGCAAAUCCACCACAAAAUAGCAUCACAACUCAUGAGUAGGUCAAAGUGGAGAGACAAGAUGCAACAGUUUGACAGCGCCACCUUGCUUUACAAAAACAGUGGCAUUACAGCAACUUCAUAAAAAAGAAGGGCUCUAGAGGCACAUGAAGCUUGAAACCCCAUCUCUUCUCAAUGUUUUUUUUCCUGUUUGAACACAGUUGUGAAAACAAUGGCCUAACCAUUUUUCUCCUCAGUUCAUAGCUUUUUUCUGUUCAAACACAGUUUGCGCUUAUAGAUUGUUUCAAUGCAUCAUUUGCUAAGAAGGCGGCUUCAAACUCAUGAUGCAUCUGUGUGCAAUUCCUGUGGAGCAAACAAUCAGCUGAAUCUACUGUCAAUUGGAUAUAUUCUUGAUUUCAAAUCAAACAUACUAUACAAUUUGUAAUUAA
This is a long non-coding RNA of Populus nigra (black poplar), 1669 nucleotides long. RefSeq lists it as uncharacterized. The record is from RefSeq and is a predicted model, not a curated record. NCBI's taxonomy places the organism in Eukaryota, Viridiplantae, Streptophyta, Magnoliopsida, Malpighiales, Salicaceae. The transcript is spliced from 2 exons.